UGUUUCCUUACUAGACAUAACCAUGCUACCCCCUCCACUGCAGCACCUUCCUAUCUUCAUGGAGUAAAAGAUGGAAGGCAGAAGCCCUAAGACAAGAAGAGAAGGGAAAAAGAUGUCCAUGUACUGAAAAGUACCCAUGGCUCAGUGUGGAUGGACUGUAUCAACUAGAGAUGGGAGGAGAACCACACAGCAGCUGGCUUUGAGGAAGUCUUCGGCUUUCAUCACCCUGCUGGGGCUUUUUGGAGCCCUAAUACUGAGCUGUUUACCUUCUGGCUGUUGGAGAUGGGCUGGGAGAUCUGAGGAAGCCAGGGUAGGUGUCAGCAGAGAUACCUGGUUUCUGUCAAUAAACACGCAGAAUCGCAGCAUCCCCUGGAGCUGGAGGCUACAGAGUCCUGCCUUUCAAGACAGUUGGGAGGAACUGUUUAAUGAGAUUUUGGCCUCUAGCAGCCAUGGCCUUUAAGAAGCUCAACAUACUCAGAUAUUUGGUCCAUAACUGCACCUAGGGAUGCAGCGGUGGCAGUCUGUCCUCUGUGGAUGCACACAAAUAGGGCUUCCUCAGCUGCCAGACUUGUCUGCAUUCAGGUGGGGCACAAUGUCCUUCCGGCACCCACUGCAAUGGCUUGUGUCUGCAUGGAUAAUUGCUCAGAAAACACAGACUGGCUUCUGUUAAAUGGAAUUGUGGUUCUGAAUGAAUAAACAUGGCUAGGACUGAU
This 713-nucleotide long non-coding RNA is filed under the name Fukomys damarensis (Damara mole-rat). RNAcentral's name for it is "lncRNA (ENSFDAG00000029994.1)". The record is from RNAcentral. Lineage: Eukaryota; Metazoa; Chordata; Mammalia; Rodentia; Bathyergidae.